Lolium perenne is the source of this 3718-nucleotide long non-coding RNA. RefSeq lists it as uncharacterized. NCBI's taxonomy places the organism in Eukaryota, Viridiplantae, Streptophyta, Magnoliopsida, Poales, Poaceae. The record is from RefSeq and is a predicted model, not a curated record.
GCCGGCCCAUAUCCUGCUUCAGUGUUCUGUUUCUUUCCCGUCUUUCUUCGUCGUUCUUCUUCGUUCUUAGGUGUCUCCGUGGCCUGCUUCGCUUCCCCAACUUCCAAAUUGCGAGCUCGGAGCACGGAUCAGAUCGCCGAGUCGCGCGCCCCUCGCCCCCGGCUCCAUCCCACUUCGUCCGGAGCCUCAGGUUCGAUUCGCUCCCCGCACUGAAUUCUCGGGGUCUAUUCGUGUUUCUUGUGAGGCGAUUUCGUCUCGUUACUGGACUAUUUGUUCGGUUGUUUCGUUAGUUUACCGCUGUGCUUUGAUCCGAUUCGGCCCUGAUGCAUCUCCGGCCGAAACGAGGGCAUCUUCCUGGCGACUUUUGUGUACCCUGUGUGACUUUUUCGAAGGCGUGUUAAGAAAAUCAGAGCUAGGGUUUGUGCUGGAGAUGUUCGAUCCGGUAGCCUGAAUGCGAUUCUGGUAUUUACCUGGUGAAUGGAUGCUGUUGCUGCCUGUGAUAUAGUGAGGAGGCGUGAUUGGUUAGUCCAGCAUUUAAUUUGUACUAGCAUACACGGAUGAGAGCAUAUAAAUGCAUAGUUAAGUAUUUCACGACAGCCCAUCGCACUGUAAUAGGGGCACUACUGCAGUGCUACUGGAUUGAGCGAGGAGUAACAUGUCAGGCUUUCAGCCAUUCCAAUCAGAUUUGGUUGGGUGAGCAUUGCAAUUCUGCAGGUGUAGUACGGUACAAAUUUGAUAUUUUCUGCAGCUGUGUUAGAAUAAAAUAGAAUGUAUCGAUGCAAGAUUGGUUGCUUCACUUUUGUUACUCCAGAUAUAAUGCCAUAGCGAAAUUAGCAUCUUGAUCUCCAUGUUUGAUACUGUAGGAGGUGCUGCAAGUAAGGGCUCAAUGUGUAGCCUAUUGAUUUUUACUUCAUUGUGUUAUGGUAGAUAGGUUAGUGUGUGUUUUGUUCAAACUGCUACAUCUUGAUACAGAUUCCGGACUUGAGUACUGGGUACAACUCUGUGGCCCUGUUUCCUAUAUCAUCUAUCACAGGUUUAGUUAUUAAAAAAUAAUCUCACAAACAUUUCACAUGUCCUGAUACUGUUCAAAGUAGAAAACCAUUCAUGCUUUUAUUUUUGUUCAAGGUAAAAAAAAAAAAAACGGUUCAUACAUAGAAUCAGUUCAUGCUUUGCACGGAUAUUGAAAUAAAAGCUCCGUUCAUGCGUUUAUUUAUGUUCAAGGUAGAAAACCGUUCAUCUUGACAAAGGAUAUUGAAAUAAAAGCUGCGUUCAUGCGUUUAUUUAUGUUCAAGGUAGAAAACCGUUAAUUCCAAGAAUGCGUUCAUGCUUUGCAUUUUUAUUUAAGGUACGCAACCGUUCAUUCCAAGAAUCGUUCAUGCUUUUAUUUUUGUCCAAGGUAGGUAAACCGUUCAUUCCAAGAAUCCUGUCAUGCUUUUAUUUUUGUUCAAGGUAGAUAAACCGUUCAUUCCAAGAAUCUGCAUGCUUUUAUUUAUAUUCAAGGUAGAAAGCCACUAAUGCCAAGAAUCCGUUCAUGCUUGGAUUUAUAUGUUCCUUGUACGAAAUCUUUCAUGCCAAGAAUCCGUUCAUGCUUGCAUUUUUGUUCAAGGUAUGAAACCGUUCAUUCCAAGAAUCCAUUCAUAAUUUUAUUUUUGUUCAAGGUACGAAACCGUUCAUUCCAAAAAUCCGUUCAUGCUUUUAUUUUUGUUCAAGGAAGAAAACCGCUCAUGCCAAGAAUCUGUUCAUGCUUUUUAUUUAUGUUCAAGGUAGAAAACCUUUAAUUCCAAGAAUACGUUCAUGGUUUAGUUUUUUGUUCAAGGUUGAAAACUGUUCAUGCUCGUAUUUUAUGGUCAAGCUACCAAAGUCGUUCAUGCUUGCAUUUAUGUUCACGGUUCGAAACCAUUCAUUCAAGAAUCCGUUCAUGCUUUUAUUUCUGUUGAAGGUAGAAAAUAGUUCGUGCCAACGAUCCGUUCAUGCUCGUAUUUAUGGUCAAGGUAGGAAACCGUUCAUGCCAAGAAUUUGUUCAUGCAUUAUUUAAUGUUGAAGCUAUCAAAACUGUUCAUGCCAAGAAUCUGUUCAUUCUUGUAUUUAAGGUCAAGGUAGGAAAUCAUUAAUGAGAGGAAUUCGUUCAUGCUUAUAUUUUAUGGUCAAGGUAGAAAACCGUUCAUUCCGAAAAAAUCUGUGCAAGCUUUUAUUUAUGUUCAAGGCACCGCUCAUGCGAAAGAAUCAGUUAAUGAUUCUUUUCCAAGGUAUGAAACCGUUCAUUCCAAGAAUCCGAUCAUGCUUUUAUUUUUUGUUCAAGAUAGAAAACCGUUCAUGCCAAUAAUUCGUUCAUGCUUUUAUUGUUGUUCAAGGUAGAAAACAGUUCAUUCCAAGAAUCCGUUCAUGCUUGCAUUUAUGUUCAAGGUACGAAACCACUCAUGCCAAGAAUCUGUUCAUGCUUACAUUUUUUUUCAAGGUUCGAAACCGUUCAUUCCAAGAAUUUGUUUUUGUUCAAGGUAGAAACCGUUCAUUCGAAGAAUCCAGUCAUGCUUUUAUUUUUCAUUCAAUGUAGAAUUCCCAGAAUCCGUUCAUGCUUUAAUUUAUGUUGAAGGUAGAACUGCUCAUGCCAAGAAUCCUUUCUAUUUUGUCUCCUAUUUUUUUAUGCUUAUUGGAAUUUUCUAUUCUUCCAAUUAAUGCUAAUAUGAUUCUGGGAUUUUUGUCAUUCAGUUCAUUAGAUGGUACAACAGAAUUGAAGUACAAUCAUUUUCAAAUGUUAGCUUCAUAUUCUUUUAAUUCUUCAGUAUUUGACUUUUUCUUUCGUGUAUGGAAUUUAUACACUCUUUGGCAUAUGUUAAAAAAAAGUUUGACGUUCAAGCCAUACGUGAAAAAUCUCUACUCAACUUGUGAUAAGCAAGUAUGAUGAGAAUGAGAUACCAUUAUCAAGACAAUUCAUUGCUAAACAUACCAGUACUUUUUUUUACCUAUUUUCAUUAUGCCCUUCCAUCAUGUCACACCUUAAACCUUCUUUUCGUUGGUACUAGCCUACACUGUCUUGUCCAUUUGAUGGCAAAAUUAUUCCACUUUCUAACAGUUUAUAGCAGUGGUUAUGAGCACUAUAGUUAUCCGUGGGUAAAGUGUUCAUGGCACUUUUCAUCCUUUGUUUUCGUUCCCCAAAUAGUCCAGUCUCGUCAAAUUGUGUCAUCUUCAGAAACUUUUCAUCCCAUCUCCACAAGAAGAAUAUGAACAUAUAGAAACAUAAGUUAUAGAAAAGAGUAUAUUCGGUAACUCUGAACUUUAUAUUUUCAUCUGUGAAAAUCCCUGAGCUUCUUCAGCCAGAACGUCAUGGGAAACAUGAAGACUCUGAAAUGCAUUGUCAAUCCAACUUGUGGUAAACAGUAAAAUGAAAUUUCUCACUCUUUCGCAGGUUCCACACCUUCUUCAUUGACCAAAGUUCACAUCCUCCGAGCAGGAAGAGAUGAUAUAUCAUAAAAAUAUUUCAUAAAGGAAAGGAACACAACACAAGCAUGGAAAUGCUUCUCCUACAAGGCAAGGAGAUUCACAGAUCAUUCGGAAGGAAAGCAUCGAAAACGAGUUUCCAAGUGAUAAACAUGAAUUCUGUGUACCCAGACAGAAAAAUGUUUUGUCCCUAUUUGUCACAUUUUGACAGUUUUUUCUCAUUGAUGUGUAUUACGUGCUAUACAAACGGGGAAGAAUCAGUACAGUUCACUUUUAUCAUGUA